Ornithorhynchus anatinus (platypus) is the source of this 537-nucleotide long non-coding RNA. RefSeq lists it as uncharacterized. Lineage: Eukaryota; Metazoa; Chordata; Mammalia; Monotremata; Ornithorhynchidae. The transcript is spliced from 3 exons. The record is from RefSeq and is a predicted model, not a curated record.
UUUACCUUGCUAUGGCAACAGCAGGAAUACAUGGGCAUGCAUCAUCUCAUAUCUGAAGAUCAGAGACUCACACCAGCUCAACAUUGUAGAACCUCUUUAGUAAAGAAUGCAUAGUAAACAGUGAAAAUGUCCAGAGCUUCCAUGAUAGCCAUUUUUAACUGCAAGGAAGGAAAGAAGUUGAUGGGAAAGGGCAGGGGAGAAGCUGGACUAUGAAGAGGGAGAAGAAAUGUCAGAUUUUAUGGAGUAAUCAUAAAUCCAGAGUCCAAUUGUUUUUAGAGCUAAAGCACAAACAUGUAACUUACAAUGCAUUUUGUUAAAACGUAAGUAUACAGAUACUCAAAUUAUCAUGUCACAAGUGUAGCGAUUUCAGUUAUAUUAUCCCACAAUCAUUAUGGCCAUGAAAAGAUGAAUCUAUGCUUGUACUUGACUGCUGUCACAAUUUCUUCAUUCGGGCAAGACUAUUUGAAUAGAGGUUUAACAUUUUAUUCCUGCUUUUAAGUACUUAUGUUUUGGGUGAGAUACAGGAGACCAGAUGAA